This 397-nucleotide ribosomal RNA is filed under the name Enterobacter sp. RNAcentral's name for it is "bacterial SSU rRNA". It matches the Rfam family "Bacterial small subunit ribosomal RNA", at positions 56 to 450 of the family's 1533-position model. Lineage: Bacteria; Pseudomonadati; Pseudomonadota; Gammaproteobacteria; Enterobacterales; Enterobacteriaceae. The record is from RNAcentral.
UGCAAGUCGAACGGUAGCACAGAGAGCUUGACUCUCGGGUGACGAGUGGCGGACGGGUGAGUAAUGUCUGGGAAACUGCCUGAUGGAGGGGGAUAACUACUGGAAACGGUAGCUAAUACCGCAUAACGUCGCAAGACCAAAGAGGGGGACCUUCGGGCCUCUUGCCAUCAGAUGUGCCCAGAUGGGAUUAGCUAGUAGGUGGGGUAACGGCUCACCUAGGCGACGAUCCCUAGCUGGUCUGAGAGGAUGACCAGCCACACUGGAACUGAGACACGGUCCAGACUCCUACGGGAGGCAGCAGUGGGGAACAUUGCACAAUGGGCGCAAGCCUGAUGCAGCCAUGCCGCGUGUAUGAAGAAGGCCUUCGGGUUGUAAAGUACUUUCAGCGGGGAGGAAG